This 460-nucleotide ribosomal RNA is filed under the name uncultured bacterium. RNAcentral describes it as "partial 16S ribosomal RNA". It matches the Rfam family "Bacterial small subunit ribosomal RNA", at positions 338 to 795 of the family's 1533-position model. The record is from RNAcentral.
CCUACGGGAGGCAGCAGUGAGGAAUAUUGGUCAAUGGUCGGGAGACUGAACCAGCCAAGCCGCGUGAGGGAGGAAGGUACAGAGUAUCGUAAACCUCUUUUGUCAGGGAACAAAGACUGGGACGCGUCCCCGGAUGAGUGUACCUGAAGAAAAAGCAUCGGCUAACUCCGUGCCAGCAGCCGCGGUAAUACGGAGGAUGCGAGCGUUAUCCGGAUUUAUUGGGUGUAAAGGGCGUGUAGGCGGGACUGCAAGUCAGAUGUGAAAUUCCAGGGCUCAACCCUGGAACUGCAUUUGUAACUGUAGUUCUUGAGUGAUGGAGAGGCAGGCGGAAUUCCGUGUGUAGCGGUGAAAUGCGUAGAUAUACGGAGGAACACCAGUGGCGAAGGCGGCCUGCUGGACAUUAACUGACGCUGAGGCGCGAAAGCGUGGGGAGCAAACAGGAUUAGAUACCCCGGUAGUC